UCAGCAUUUAAAAAAUAUUUUAUAAGCUCAUUCAUCUUCAAUUUGACAUGUAUUUUUGAGUACGAGCUUUAUUCAAAGAACCACAUUGGAAACAAAUACAAAGAUCUCUAUAUCCCAUCUUCACCAAUUUUCUGGACCUGAACUUAGAAAAGGGCAUUUCUGGUCUACCAUCUCCCUGCACACACAGGUGAAUUACAGUAUUAUUCAGCUUUGAUUAUGUAAUUUUCAAGUUUUCUGUAUACGUUAACAAACUUUAUAUUUUCUAAAUGUUUUUAAACUCAAUUUUCUUUAAAUAACCAAGUGUUGAAAACUUUACA
This 317-nucleotide long non-coding RNA is filed under the name Canis lupus dingo (dingo). RNAcentral describes it as "lncRNA (ENSCAFG00020011925.1)". The record is from RNAcentral. Lineage: Eukaryota; Metazoa; Chordata; Mammalia; Carnivora; Canidae.